This 1079-nucleotide long non-coding RNA is filed under the name Lonchura striata (white-rumped munia). RNAcentral describes it as "domestica (Bengalese finch) lncRNA (ENSLSDG00000011938.1)". The record is from RNAcentral. Lineage: Eukaryota; Metazoa; Chordata; Aves; Passeriformes; Estrildidae.
AUGGCAUCUGAAAGGUGUGUCCCAAGGGCUUUGCUAAGACCUGAGCAAAGUUUUCUGCAUUUCCAAGAGUUCUGCUGGCUUGAACCAAGAGCUGGAAUGUGCUCAAGCUCCAUGACACUGCCUAGAGCAGAGGGGAAAAUCAGAAUAAAUUCCCAGUCUUGUAUUUCCACCACAAGCCAUUAGGACAGUUCUUGCCUCUAAAAACCCCAAAGCCCAGCUGAGCUCAGAGGCUGCAGCUGCAGCCCCAGCAGUGAGGAAGCCCUGGGAGCAUCACUGCCCUCUCUUCUUGCCUCUUUCUUCCCCCUAAAACUUCAGCUUCAAGCAAAUAUGGGAUCAGCACGAAGCACUGACUCCAUGCUUCCUUAAAGGUGAUUUGAAACCUGGCAUGGGACUUGGACAUCUGGUCCUCAGUCUUGUGUGUCCAAACUCUUGAGGGUCUCAUCCUCCCCAAAAGCAUGGAUGGAAGCUAAAGACACUGUGCUCCCCAACGAAAAGCAAUUAUUAAUGAUCAUUAAUGGUACUAGGAAACAUUAAAUAUUCAAACAGUGCUAGAGCUCCACAUUUUCACAAGUCCUUAAGUCAUUAAAGCAUCCGGGUUCCUCUGGCUUUUCAAUGGUUUGGGCAUUUAAGUUGCCCAAUAAUAUCCAAAGUGACAUGCAGAGUUUGUAAAAACAUUAAAGCACAUUCAGACUGGUUUAUCCUGGAAAUUCUCUUGAGGCUGGAAUGAAGAAAUCCUCAAGAUCACUUUGUAUAACAGCAUGGAAGAAUGUCAGUCCAAACUCUGCUAACUCCAUAUACAGGAAAUGCCUCUGCAGAUCAACCUCCAAGAGUUUGGAAGGGAGCAACAAGGCAGAGUUUAGUGCAUUGCUCUGCCAGAUACAAUCCAUUUAAGCAAAUAUAAGGCCUCUUCAAUAUGGGAGAGACUAGAGAUUCUAAAAAGAAAGGAGAAGUUAUUUGGAAAUUUAAGUGAUAUUUUUAAUGCAUGUGAAAUCUUUGAUGUCAAAAAGAUUUCAUUUUUUUGUUGGUAUGUCUUUGGAGCAUUUUGUCUUCAAGAAUAAAUUAUGUUUUUAUCUGUAUCA